AUUUGUGGUGUAACGGUAACACACUCGACGAGUAUUCGAGGGGUACAGGUUCGAAUCCCGUCGAGGAUA
Molecule: transfer RNA, 69 nt
Filed under: Stegodyphus mimosarum
Lineage: Eukaryota; Metazoa; Arthropoda; Arachnida; Araneae; Eresidae
Rfam family: tRNA
About the family: Transfer RNA (tRNA) molecules are approximately 80 nucleotides in length. Their secondary structure includes four short double-helical elements and three loops (D, anti-codon, and T loops).
Source: Rfam by way of RNAcentral